GAUGAGAUGCCCAAUUCUAUGUAAAGUGCUUUCGAAGAGUCGAGUUGUUUGGGAAUGCAGCUCUAAGUGGGUGGUAAAUUCCAUCUAAAGCUAAAUAUUGGCGAGAGACCGAUAGCGAACAAGUACAGUGAUGGAAAGAUGAAAAGAACUUUGAAAAGAGAGUGAAAAAGUACGUGAAAUUGUUGAAAGGGAAGGGCUUGAGAUCAGACUUGGUAUUUUGCGAUCCUUUCCUUCUUGGUUGGGUUCUCCGCAGCUUACUGGGCCAGCAUCGGUUUGGAUGGUAGGAUAAUGAUUAAGGAAUGUGGCUCUACUUCGGUGGAGUGUUAUAGCCUUGGUUGAUACUGCCUGUCUAGACCGAGGACUGCGUCUUUGACUAGGAUGCUGGCAUAAUGAUCUUAAGCCACCCGUCUUGAAACACGGACCAAGGAGUCUAACGUCUAUGCGAGUGUUUGGGUGUAAAACCCGUACGCGUAAUGAAAGUGAACGUAGGUGAGAGCUCUUAAGAGUGCAUCAUCGACCGAUCCUGAUGUCUUCGGAUGGAUUUGAGUAAGAGCAUAGCUGUUGGGACCCGAAAGAUGGUGAACUAUGCCUGAAUAGGGUG
Molecule: ribosomal RNA, 601 nt
Filed under: Debaryomyces nepalensis
Lineage: Eukaryota; Fungi; Ascomycota; Pichiomycetes; Serinales; Debaryomycetaceae
Description: partial large subunit ribosomal RNA
Rfam family: Eukaryotic large subunit ribosomal RNA
Source: RNAcentral